CGCGUGCACUGGUCCGGCCGGGCCUUUCCCUCUGCGGAACCCCAUGCCCUUCACUGGGUGUGGCGGGGAAACAGGACUUUUACUUUGAAAAAAUUAGAGUGCUCAAGGCAGGCCUAUGCUCGAAUACAUUAGCAUGGAAUAAUAGAAUAGGACGUGUGGUUCUAUUUUGUUGGUUUCUAGGACCGCCGUAAUGAUUAAUAGGGACAGUCGGGGGCAUCAGUAUUCAAUUGUCAGAGGUGAAAUUCUUGGAUUUAUUGAAGACUAACUACUGCGAAAGCAUUUGCCAAGGAUGUUUUCAUUAAUCAGGAACGAAAGUUAGGGGAUCGAAGACGAUCAGAUACCGUCGUAGUCUUAACCAUAAACUAUGCCGACUAGGGAUCGGACGAUGUUACAUUUUUGACGCGUUCGGCACCUUACGAGAAAUCAAAGUGCUUGGGCUCCAGGGGGAGUAUGGUCGCAAGGCUGAAACUUAAAGAAAUUGACGGAAGGGCACCACCAGGGGUGGAGCCUGCGGCUUAAUUUGACUCAACACGGGGAAACUCACCAGGUCCAGACACAAUGAGGAUUGACAGAUUGAGAGCUCUUUCUUGAUUUUGUGGGUGGUGGUGCAUGGCCGUUCUUAGUUGGUGGAGUGAUUUGUCUGCUUAAUUGCGAUAACGAACGAGACCUUAACCUGCUAAAUAGCCCGUAUUGCUUUGGCAGUACGCUGGCUUCUUAGAGGGACUAUCGG
Molecule: ribosomal RNA, 730 nt
Filed under: uncultured eukaryote
Lineage: Eukaryota
Description: SSU rRNA
Rfam family: Eukaryotic small subunit ribosomal RNA
Source: RNAcentral